UGUGGUGCAGUCCUUCGUGAUAAUAGAGAUUUAUUUAUGGGAGCUUCAACUGCGAACUUGGAAAAUAUUUCAGAUGUUGUUUCAACUGAGGCUGAUGCAGUAGUUGAAGGACCGAAGUUGGCCCUAAGCAUUGGAUGCGAUUCCAUCAUUGUGCAAAUGGAUAACUUGGUUGUUGUCGAAGCAUUAAACGCUAAUACUACCGGACAUUCAAUGAUGACAGCCCUAAUUCUUGAAGAUUGUCUAAGUUUGUUGGAAGAUUUUGGGAAGGUUUUUAUUGAGUAUUGUAAUAGAGAUUCAAAUAUGGUUGCUCACACGCUAGCUCAACGGGACGUGUUGAUUCACUGGCUGUAUGGUCGGACUUGCCUCCCCAUUUUAUAA
RNAcentral lists this ribosomal RNA (378 nucleotides) under Triticum aestivum (bread wheat). RNAcentral describes it as "partial small subunit ribosomal RNA". The record is from RNAcentral. Lineage: Eukaryota; Viridiplantae; Streptophyta; Magnoliopsida; Poales; Poaceae.